Long non-coding RNA from Salvelinus fontinalis (brook trout), 2521 nucleotides. RefSeq lists it as uncharacterized. Lineage: Eukaryota; Metazoa; Chordata; Actinopteri; Salmoniformes; Salmonidae. The transcript has 2 exons. The record is from RefSeq and is a predicted model, not a curated record.
GUUACACACAUGCAGGACAGCAGAAUUGUUAUCGGACUGACCCGUUAAAAAGAUAAUCUGGGAAACCCUCCUAAUGGACCUUUCUAUAGGAUAUGCAACAUUAAGCCAUCUGCAUCCCGGGGAUAAAGGAUAUGGAACCGCCUUCAUUAGAAAGGAAUUCCGAAGAGCAACGGAUGGACACAGACUUUUACGAGAUAUCUAUAUGUAAACUGUAUAUAUUUUUUAUGCUAAAAUGUACACCCGAAAUCGAAAAUCAUACAACCCUGGAGGACAUGAUCGAAACGGAAGGGGGGUACCCCCGGAACAUGAAGAGUAAAACAUUGAAUUCGGACGAUUUCCCCGCUUCAAAGGACAUUUCGGAGGUCUCUGAUUUGCGGUUGUUUGUAAUGGGCAGAAAACAGGUUAAGGAAAACUCCGAGACUGAAACAACAUUCAGUCAUGCUAUUCUAAAACAGGAAGACAACGAUUUUUACAGAUAUUCAGAAACAGAAGGACAAUAAUUAUCAUUAUAAUUUGUUUUUUAAAUAUAUUUUUUAGGCCAUAUGUUAAAUGGACGUAUUCUUAUAAGUUAAAAUGUAUCUAUUUCGUAUAAAUACAGGUUAACAUUAUCUAACGUUUGUAUGAUACCCAGAGGCUACAGGGCAUAAUGGAUUGGGAACCGACAGAGUUAGACGGGGAUUCUCAGAAGCAAACUGCGUCAGGUCCUUUACGUGGCCCAUUCACUAAUACACUAUUUUCGGCGUAAGUCCCCCCCACCCGACUACGGAAGAGCAGAUGAAACAGAGACAAUUCUGCGGGCUUGUACUGAAGGCCUUAACCUAACUCCAAACACAAGCCAGCACCCCAGGAAAGAUAAAACGAUAGACGGUGAAUCUUUCCUUCCUCAUGGAACUUUUUUGAAGGGGUGUUGAAUAUUAGAGGUUAUGUUUGUAUAUAUAUAUAUAUAUAUAUAUAUAUAUAUAUAUAUCUGAGGGAGGUCACGUAGGUCAAAUGUAUAAAGGGAAAGAGAGCAACAAUUUGACCUACGUGACCUCCCUCAGGUGUAAACAUCUACAAUAAUCAUUAGACAUACGAGUCAGAGUUAUCAUACCCAGUGUUAGGGUUUGCUAACUCUGGAUAUUCCUUUGGUUUGUACAGGGUUAGGUAAAUCAACUCUUUGCCCCCCUUACAUGGGGGAAUAAUCUCCAAGCUGCUCUAAACGUUGAUGUUUUUGGUGUCUCUAGGUUAAUCUCUAGACUGUUGAAUGAGGCCUGUUACUACUUUCUUACAAAACCUUUAAAGAGAGUUUGUGAAACCACUCAGUCUUGGCUGUAUGUAGAGCAUAUUUAACACGUAUUGCAGUUUACAGAAGCCUCCUGUUGUACUUUGAAUCGCCACUCAGCCCUGUUACAUCAUGAUGUGAUGGCUCUCUAACAUGUUUAUAAUCCACAUAGUGUGAAUAUUGUUUUCCCUAAAGUUAUUAACCCCCUAAACCGAAAUAUGAAAUUACCUUGAUGAUCUUUCUUACCGCCUAUUACUUUUGAGUUCUAAUCUCCCGCGUAAGGCUUACUAGUUAUGUCGAAAUGUUAGGAAGCCCUGUUGGUUGUAACAAAAACCAAACAUAAAAAAUACAUUUGACCCCCAGCUUUUCACAUACUGGGUCAUUUUAAUUUAGCCUGUUGUAUGUCUCCAGCCCCUUGGAGGCUUGGUGCAUCUACAUAGAAAAAGUACCAAAUUCAACCAUUGGGUGGAUGGGAACUAAAAUAAUGGCAUGGCAUGUAGUCAUGUUAAGAUUUUCAUUGUUUUCUUGUCAGAGUUUUAUGCUUUUGCAUAUGUCUGUGCAUUAUAGGAUGUCUUGAUAGGUUUGAGGAUCAAAUCACGCCUAUUGGUAUUCGUGAUCAUUUAUUGUUCCAGAAAAAAAAGACCCACAACUGUUCUGGGUUAAGUCCCUAGCUGUUUGCAGGGCUUGGUAGUGUAUUAGCCUGGUAUGAGUUACGAUAAAUAAUCCAAUUUAAGUAAAGUAUAAAAUAAACUGUAUUAUCCUAAAUUGAGAAAUGAAUUUUUAAAAAUCACAUCAACAGCAUAAUCUUUCAAAAUGUACCUGUUUUCCAUAUAUAAUGCCAUGUAUACUGAUUGUAUUACAACUUUUUGUGUUUUGUCUUAGUGAUUGUUCUUUAGUAAAUAGGAAACUCUACAGUGUGUUAGUCCAAGAAACAUUAUUUGUGAUAUUGUAACAAAUGUUUUUAACGUUGGUAAUUGUCUCAAAUAUAUAUCUUUGCAUGUUUGAAUUAAAGCUCCUUUAAAAUGUUUUCAUCACGGCCUGGUAAACACAUUCUUGUAAGUUGUCUACGCUGACAUUUCUGGGUAUGUCUCGCAUGUAACAUACUAAUACUAAAGAUUCUAAUCAUUUUUAUAUUACUUUUUAUAAUAAUACAAAUCUGUCAACCAAAUAUAUUUCUGAAAACCCCUUUUUGCAUCUUCAAUAGUUGUCACAUUGUGUUUUACAGAUACCCUGUCUAUAAAAAUCUAAGACCUAUCAACA